Molecule: ribosomal RNA, 677 nt
Filed under: uncultured Variovorax sp.
Lineage: Bacteria; Pseudomonadati; Pseudomonadota; Betaproteobacteria; Burkholderiales; Comamonadaceae
Description: bacterial SSU rRNA
Rfam family: Bacterial small subunit ribosomal RNA
Source: RNAcentral
AGUCGAACGGCAGCACGGGAGCAAUCCUGGUGGCGAGUGGCGAACGGGUGAGUAAUACAUCGGAACGUGCCCAAUCGUGGGGGAUAACGUAGCGAAAGCUACGCUAAUACCGCAUACGAUCUACGGAUGAAAGCGGGGGAUCGCAAGACCUCGCGCGAAUGGAGCGGCCGAUGGCAGAUUAGGUAGUUGGUGGGGUAAAGGCUCACCAAGCCAACGAUCUGUAGCUGGUCUGAGAGGACGACCAGCCACACUGGAACUGAGACACGGUCCAGACUCCUACGGGAGGCAGCAGUGGGGAAUUUUGGACAAUGGGCGCAAGCCUGAUCCAGCAAUGCCGCGUGCAGGAUGAAGGCCUUCGGGUUGUAAACUGCUUUUGUACGGAACGAAACGGCGAGCUCUAAUACAGUUUGCUAAUGACGGUACCGUAAGAAUAAGCACCGGCUAACUACGUGCCAGCAGCCGCGGUAAUACGUAGGGUGCGAGCGUUAAUCGGAAUUACUGGGCGUAAAGCGUGCGCAGGCGGUGAUGUAAGACAGUUGUGAAAUCCCCGGGCUCAACCUGGGAACUGCAUCUGUGACUGCAUCGCUAGAGUACGGCAGAGGGGGAUGGAAUUCCGCGUGUAGCAGUGAAAUGCGUAGAUAUGCGGAGGAACACCGAUGGCGAAGGCAAUCCCCUGG